RNAcentral lists this long non-coding RNA (3319 nucleotides) under Sus scrofa (pig). Its description in RNAcentral is "lncRNA (ENSSSCG00000053592.1)". Lineage: Eukaryota; Metazoa; Chordata; Mammalia; Artiodactyla; Suidae. The record is from RNAcentral.
GGGAACCUCCCUGGUUGGAUAAGCUCCAGGGGCAACUCUCUGAUUCUUUUCAUCAAGAGUCACAGAAGUUAAAUUCAGAAAAUCAGACUCUUUUCAUCAAGAGUCACAGAAGUUAAAUUCAGAAAAUCAGAUUACACUGGUUAGAGUGUACUGAAGAAGCAUCCUGGAUUUUCUGCUCAUGUGGGUAAGCAAUCAAUGGGAAGGCUGGAUUGUAACCCAUUCACUGUCCUUAUCAAGAGUGUUGAUAUCCAAAACCUGGCUUUGCCACUCACUAAUAGUGUGACCUCACACGUGUUAUCUAGCCUUUAUGUUUCCUCAGCUACUAACUAUAUUGGCUAUAAGAACUUGUAUUCUCUCAUGUUUCUUAUGAGGUGAAAAUGAGACACUGUUUGAUAGCAUUCAGUACCAUGUGUGCUUAUUGUGUGCUGAAUAAACCCUAGUAGUACCGGUUGUUCAAUAACUAGUAUUUGUAACCAGUCUUUUCACAGUUAACAGCAGCCUGCUCUGUAGGGUCAUAUUUAUUUGAAAUUAUUUAGAGUCACCAUUGCAAGGAGGAGAUGAGAAGGGAAGAAAAGGAUCAGGAGACAAAGGAUAGGAAAGCUGAUGGACAAUGCUUGAGGAUGCUCGGGGACCACAUCACUAUGUGUAGGAACACAUUAGCCUAAGAGGCUGCUGACAGUCAGGAUGGCUUUCCCAGGAGGCAGCAGGGCCUCACAGAUGAGGGGAGGAGCACCCAGACCUGGGCCAGUGGUGAUGGGUAAAGGAGGACAGGAGCCAUAACUUAUCUGCAAGGUCAUUUAAUAUGCCCUGUGCUUGGCAGGGCACAGGCAUGGUUGGUGGAAGGUGGGGGGUGACUCCUUCUUCACUUCUGCUUUAUCAAGAUUCCAAACCAUCUCCCCUCUGACCAGGAGCAGCCAGCCCUACAUUCCAACUGCUGUGAGAAGGAGAGGCAAGCUGGAUGUAUUUAUCAUGCAAACAAUUGCAAAUUUUCCGCUUGGCCUGCCCCAGCCCCACCAUCCCACCCACACACAGACAUAUACUUCCAUCCCUUCUGGACAAUUUUAUUUUGCUCUGAUGGCUUUAAGAAUCAUUAUUUCUCUUGUGCUUUCUACUGAGAAAGACAAAAAAGAGAAGUCUUAAUCCUCAACUUAGGCUGUGGCUUCUAAUUAUCUUAUUAAAACCAUUUGGGUUCCUUAAGCCUUUUCUGUUGGUGGCCCUAGGACAAUCAUCCUACUUUCUGAUGUCAAUUUUCAGGGAAGUCUUAAUACCUGCUGAUGAAUACGAGGUGAAGGGAACUUUGCUUUUAAAACUAUUUAUCAAAACAUUAUUCUCACAUAACAAAAUAGUCUUGACUUUAAGAGGUCAGCAGGGGAAGGGCAAUUUUGAAGGUUUAUUCUUUACAGUGGAAGCCCACAUGUCGUAGAUCUAGGAAAUAGGAAGAUUUGCAGAAGCCAAGCUUAUUUUUAAAUAAAACAAUAAUUAAAAAAACCACCUCUGUUGUUAGUCUGAAGGCAGCUUACCUUCUCAUUUGUCAAACAUGUGAGCCUUAUUGUCAACAAAAUGAGAAACUGGUAUAGGACAAGGGAGAAGAGAAGAUAUUUAUUUCAAAGCAGAUAAUAAGGAUCUUUUUCUAAUGUGAUUACCAGUGCUACAACUCCCCAGUGGUAGACAGUGCAACAGAAAUCUGAGUCAUUGUAUGGCAGCCUCUUUGGAUCAAAUUUUCAAAAUUAUCCAAGCAGGUAUGGGUUAAGAUGGGAAAGUAACAUCAUUAGAAGCCUCCUCGGUCCACAAAAUAGACCAACCUGAGAAGCCCAGUUACCCACAAGAUGUCCCUGACACCUUAUCUGCCGUAUAUGACUAUUAUGUCCCCUCAUCUGUUUGUUUAGCUUUGUCUUAUAAACCCCUUCUCUCUCAACAUUUGUGCUUAUAUCAUAUUUAAUUACAUCUUUGACUUCCCCAAGCCAUCUUGUCUCUAACACUUCCAGGUUGGCUCUAUCCAUGCUCUCCACCUUCUGACUCAACCCUCUCCCUCUCGCCUACCCAGCAAAUUCAGCACAAAUACCAUCUCCUCUAUGAAACCUUUCCUUACCCUGACAAACAGCCUUAUAUCCUUCCUUUAUGCUAUUUCUGCACAGCUCAAUUGAGCCUCAUUCACCAUCAAUCAGUGUCAAAAAGUGGUAGAAAGAAUAAUAUCUUAAAACAUUGUAUCUUUAUAUAUCUCCAAGUAUACAUCAUUUAGGUUUAUGGACUCCUGGAGAUUUCUUUUGUACAUGUGGAGAAACUGAGGCAGAGUGCUAUUUUUAGUCUCAAGAAGUUAUGUACCAAAGGGAAUGUAAAUUAAUAUUUUAGCAUGCUGGACAAUCCUUAUUUGCAUAUCACCUGUAGUGAGUGAGCCCCAAAAGAAAUGUAUAAGAAACUUACCUCCUAGACCCAAAUCAACACCAAAGCAGUGAAUCCAUUUAAUUCAAUUGAUUAUACAUUGACUCAUCUCCUACUAGGAGCUGGCAUUAUACAGACUGCUGGCUUGGGGGAUCUACCCAAAGCUCCAAGAUGAGGUCUUGACCUCACAGAGCUAUACAUUGAAUGAGGCUGUAGACAAGGCAACUGUAUAUCCUAUUUCAGGUAAAUGCUAAUACUGGAGGGAUUUUUUUUUUCCUGACAGUUAUACAAAUAAUAUUUCUUAUGGUAUCCAUCUACUGUCCCUAGUUCUUCCCCCCGGCAGGACCCACAAAAAGUUCAAAUUCUUUAUAAUACAACAGUAUAACAUUCUUUUUUUCAAAUGAGCAUUCUUAGGCUACUCUGCCCUUUGCCUCAAGCCAUCUCUUCUUUCAUGAAACAAGAGUCUUCCAGUUCUUUCCUAUUCUAAAACCAAGGCUUCCACACCCUGGCCACCCUUUUCUGGCUCCCUUGGUCAGUGUUACUCUUGGAGUAGGUUGCCCAGCUCAGACCCAGUGUGUAGCUGUGGUCUGAGCCAUGCUUUCAGGCCCCAUCUUCCUCACCAGUCACUUUCAAAAUCCAUCUCUCUAAGGCACUGGCAGUUUUUUUGGAAAGUCUUGGAUCAUGAUUCUGCAUAUUAAAUAGCUACAUAUUAGACCCCUUUCUUAUUCCUGUCGUGCAGAAACUCGAUAGGAAUAUCAUCGUUGUUUUUAUAAGUCCAUAAUAAACAUUCAAGCAGGAUAAAAUCAAUGUGCAGCCUCUGUCAGGAAGCAAUGAUUUCUACCCUGAGAGUCAUGGGCCAGGAAGGAAGGUGGAGUAUUAACAUAAAGUUGCUAAUAUUUUACUUUGACAAGUAAGGAUGUUAUUUAUUUAUUAUAAAAAG